Molecule: ribosomal RNA, 252 nt
Filed under: uncultured bacterium
Lineage: Bacteria
Description: partial 16S ribosomal RNA
Rfam family: Bacterial small subunit ribosomal RNA
Source: RNAcentral
UACGGAAGAUGCGAGCGUUAUCCGGAUUUAUUGGGUUUAAAGGGAGCGUAGGCGGGCUGUUAAGUCAGCGGUAAAAUGUCAAGGCCCAACCUUGUCCUGCCGUUGAAACUGGCGGUCUUGAAUGCACACAAGGGAGAUGGAAUUCGUCGUGUAGCGGUGAAAUGCUUAGAUAUGACGAAGAACUCCGAUUGCGAAGGCAGUCUCCUGGGGUGCUAUUGACGCUGAGGCUCGAAAGUGCGGGUAUCAAACAGG